RNAcentral lists this ribosomal RNA (465 nucleotides) under uncultured Arsenophonus sp. RNAcentral describes it as "bacterial SSU rRNA". It matches the Rfam family "Bacterial small subunit ribosomal RNA", at positions 338 to 795 of the family's 1533-position model. The record is from RNAcentral. Lineage: Bacteria; Pseudomonadati; Pseudomonadota; Gammaproteobacteria; Enterobacterales; Morganellaceae.
CCUCCGGGAGGCAGCAGUGGGGAAUCUUGCACAAUGGGCGCAAGCCUGAUGCAGCCAUGCCGCGUGUAUGAAGAAGGCCUUCGGGUUGUAAAGUACUUUCAGUCGUGAGGAAGGUGUUAAGGUUAAUAACCUUAGCCAUUGCCGUUAGCGACAGAAGAAGCACCGCCUCACUCCCUUCCACCAGCCGCCGUAUUACGUACGGUGCGAGCGUUACUCGGAAUUACUGGGCGUAAAGGGCACGCAGGCGGUUAAUUAAGUUGGAUGUGAAAUCCCCGGGCUUAACCUGGGAAUGGCAUUCAAGACUGGUUAGCUAGAGUCUUGUAGAGGGGGGUAGAAUUCCAUGUGUAGCGGUGAAAUGCGUAGAGAUGUGGAGGAAUACCGGUGGCGAAGGCGGCCCCCUGGACAAAGACUGACGCUCAUGUGCGAAAGCGUGGGGAGCAAACAGGAUUAGAUACCCCUGUAGUA